UAGUGUGGCGCACGCAGUGGUCCUCCCCGCGAUGAGUGGGGAGGGGCAAGAGGGAAGCCGGCGAGAUUCCGGCACUGCCCCGCAGCGGUAUGUGAGGACGAAAGCCGUCAUCAGCACUGGGUGACCUGGGAAGCGACGGCCGGUAGGCGCGGUGAGACCCGCACAGUCACGAGUCCGAAGACCUGCCAUUGCCCCUGCCGCAGC
Molecule: non-coding RNA, 204 nt
Filed under: Branchiibius sp. NY16-3462-2
Lineage: Bacteria; Bacillati; Actinomycetota; Actinomycetes; Micrococcales; Dermacoccaceae
Also listed under: 1 other name
Source: RNAcentral